Molecule: long non-coding RNA, 2032 nt
Organism: Lolium perenne
Lineage: Eukaryota; Viridiplantae; Streptophyta; Magnoliopsida; Poales; Poaceae
Source: RefSeq, a predicted model, not a curated record
AGGCCAGUGGGUGGGCAGUGAAAACCUAGAUCGAAAAUCACUCCCCAAUCCCAGAUCAUCACUCUCUCCCAAUCCCCUGCUCUCCUCUCCCCUCCUCCCCCAAUCCUCGUCUCCUCUCCUCCUUCCCCAAUCGCCGCCGCCUCUUGUUUUCCUACACGGGCCGCCACGCGAGGUGCUGCACGGGAGGCGGGUGGACGGAGGAAGGGCGCCCCGAGCAACGAGGCGGCUGGAUGCGGGAGUUGGUGGCGGCUGGACGGGCGGAUCCGGUGCAGGACGGGCGGAAUCCAUGGCAAGGCCGCUUUGAAGAGCUCGUACAUCACUGCUUGGGGCUGGAGAUGCAGGAGAGAAAAGAUCUCCUCCAAGUGCUGCCGGAAUCGGGCGCGCGGGAGAGGAGCAGCGCCCUCACCCUGCAGCGGUGCCUGCUGGACAGGUGUUGGUAGAAGAUUGCUCGUUGGAGGGGCAUAUAAUGAUUAAUGGAUAGUCUCGCCCUGAUGCUGAUGUACUGGAAAAUGAAUUAGAGUUGUCUCUUUGUUGCUAGAGGAAACUGAUUCUUUUCAAAUUACAUUUUGAUGCUUUGAGGUGGCUCAGUUAGUUGGAUCGUUGAUGAGUGGCGGAGGGUCGAUGUGAUGAGGAGGAAUGGGGGAUGAAUAUGAGCUUAUGUACGCGGACUGGCAGCUAUCUGUGCUUGGGCUGCCGUAGGCAUAACUUUGCGAGUUACCAUUUGUUGGUUCCUCUGAUAUUUCCUCAAAUGAUCGACAUGGCACAUGCUGCAGAUUCUAGAGCGCCAUGGAUCCUCACAAGGUGCCCGCCAGCCAACAAUGUAUCCAAGCAAGUGAUCUGUCAGUCUAUAAAUCUUAAAUCUAGGAUGAGGUAAGGUCAAGUUUUCACUGUACGCAUUAAUUCAUCUUCAGCUGUUCAUAAUGAGUAUCCACUUGAGCACAAGUACAGUCUUGCAGAGGUUAACAAAAAGGUGGCAAACUCUUAGCAUGUGUUUCUACAGAUUUCCCUGGAGGCCAAUAGAGCAGCCGUCAUCAUCGUCUUUAUCUCUAGCCGGAUCUGUUCCGAUAUGUCGGCUCCGAGAAUGAGUGUUUGGUUCUGAACCUUGACGGUGUUGUUGAUCUACAGCUUCUGUGAAAGGAGUAGUACGACCAUGCUUGCGUGGCAAAAUGCUAGACUGACAACGCCAAUACGAUUGUUCCCUGGUGCAGAGGCUUGCUUCUAGCUCUAGAGUCCCCAUGCCGAUCUCCUCUGGCAAGCCUCGACGAGAUGGUCUGAAUGACUAUGAAGCUUUGGGAUGUGUAUUUCUCAGGAGAACGACCGCUCAGGGGAGGACAACAUGUGAAUGUGUUCGAGAGAGAGAGUGAGAGACAGAUAGGUAGUUCAAGUUCCAAUUUUUAUUGCGUGUUCAAGGACGUUUUGUUCAUGUUGUUCUUGAUUCUAGGCAUAUGAACACACGCAAUUUCAGUUUUAAUGUCAUCAUACAGUGGCAGCAGGUAGUGUCAUGUUCAUGUGGGACUUUGAGAGAAAGGUGAUAUACGCAAUAAAUGAUGAGACUUGGUCAGAGGAGUUGAAUAAAUUAUGGUUUUUCUAUAUGAGUAGCGACACAAUUUAGAUCAUGAACAAUACUGUUUAGACUCAGGUUUUGGUCAGUACAGCUAGGAAAAAAGGAACUUGUUGUAUAUAUGUGUGAGUAUGUAUCCAGUUCUACAAGAUAGGUAAACAAGCUUAUACCUGAGUAAAUCUAGAACAGAUGUGCUACUUUAAUUAAUGUUCAAGGGUUAAAUUACUGGCUGCCCGUAGAAAGGAGAUGAGCUUUAUUCUAUUCAGGUUCUUAGUGCAUUCUGUUUUGAUAAAACAAUUAUCAGAACUGGCUUUAUUCCUAAACUAAAGUAUAUUAUUACGGCUCAUUGUGUUACUACUUUGACCUGGCUUUUAUAUUGGUUGUUAUUUCCCUUGGUGCAACAAUUCUCAUCAGCUUUUUUGUUUGAUGAAUGCGAACAGGACCUGAGGGCGAGUUCUAUGCAUAUUUGAU